AAAAAGCCUGGUCCUGACUUUAACAUCAGUUAUAACCCAAUUUACACAUGCAAGUACCCGCAACCCUGUGAGAAUGCCCUCUACCCUCGAAAGAGAAAGAGGAGCAGGCAUCAGGCACACACAAGUAGCCCAAAACGCCUUGCUCAGCCACACCCCCAAGGGAAAUCAGCAGUGAUAAACAUUAAGCCAUGAGCGUAAGCUCGACUUAGUUAGGGUUAAUAAGGGCCGGUAAAACUCGUGCCAGCCACCGCGGUUAUACGAGAGGCCCAAAUAGAUGCUUCAUCGGCGUAAAGUGUGAUUAGAGAACUCAAUAUAUUAAAGCCAAACAUUCCUUAUGCUGUCAUACGCUAAUUGGAUACAUGAAGCCCAACCACGAAAGUGACUUUAUAACACUUGAACUCACGACAGCUAGAACACAAACUGGGAUUAGAUACCCCACUAUGCCUGACUUUAAACCAUGGCAGUUGAAGCCUACAAAUUCUGCCCGCCUGGGGACUACGAGCAUUAGCUUAAAACCCAAAGGACUUGGCGGUGCCUUAUACCCCACUAGAGGAGCCUGUUCUAUAACCGAUAAUCCCCGUUAAACCUCACCUCUUCUUGUCAAUCCCGCCUAUAUACCGCCGUCGCCAGUUUACAUUGUGAAGUAACAACAGUAAGCAAGAAGGGUAAUGCCCAAAACGUCAGGUCGAGGUGUAGCGAAUGAAGAGGGAAGAAAUGGGCUACAUUUUCUGACACAGAAUAUAACGGACAAUGCAAUGAAAUACGCACAAUCGAAGGUGGAUUUAGCAGUAAAAAAGAAUUAGAGAGUCUUUUUGAAGCCGGCUCUGAGGCGCGUACACACCGCCCGUCACUCUCCUCGAAAAAUUAAACACAUAUAUAAUAACCUAAAAAAACAAAAGAGGAGGCAAGUCGUAACAUGGUAAGUGUACUGGAAAGUGCACUUGGAAUAAU
RNAcentral lists this non-coding RNA (951 nucleotides) under Uropterygius concolor (unicolor snake moray). Its description in RNAcentral is "12S rRNA". It matches the Rfam family "Bacterial small subunit ribosomal RNA". The record is from RNAcentral. Lineage: Eukaryota; Metazoa; Chordata; Actinopteri; Anguilliformes; Muraenidae.